This 834-nucleotide long non-coding RNA is filed under the name Musa acuminata (dwarf banana). Its description in RNAcentral is "long non-coding RNA (MACU_LNC000178)". Lineage: Eukaryota; Viridiplantae; Streptophyta; Magnoliopsida; Zingiberales; Musaceae. The record is from RNAcentral.
AUUCAUUCAUAAGCAGAUGCCGAUCGAUCGAACUCCAAACUUCUUUGCAUGGUUACAAAUAAUGAGUACAAAACAAUGGUUGUCGAUCAGAGUUAAAGAAUCAAACUCGAUCUUAAUUCCAAAGGUAAACAACAUUAAUGGAUCCAAAGCAGACUAAUUACAUGCAUGGGAGCAAUAUUAAUCGAACUAAACUAUCAGUCAGUGCCCCGGACCUUUGGCGCUCGGCCCUGACUUGGCUUUUGCAAGCAUCAGAGCCGGAAAGGACGGUGAAGCAAAGCCCUGCCCGUGGAUAGGCCUCGAUCCUUGUACCACAUGCAGGUAAGAGAGUGCAACGAAGAACAUGAUGACGAUGAUGGCCACACGGCAUCCUCGUGGACUAAUAAUUAUCGCCAUGCCCACAAACUUCUUCGGCAGAAGGAAUGGAUGUUUGUGCUCUGCAGGGAGGGACGAGUCUAAGAAGCUUUAUAGCAAUCGUAGCGGGCGCCGACUCCAAGAGAUCCAUUUGCUGGACUCUGCAAGGUUUGAAAAGGUGCCAGCAUGGGGGUUGACAAAAGGGAGGGUGGGUUUCGGCCGGCCGGUGCUCUCUUCCUCAAGAUCUUCUCUCUUUGACUCAACUUCUCGCCGUUCUGCUGCUGUUCAUAUUCUCCGGUUUUGUGUCAAUUGCAAGUUCGAUUCACACGAAAGCAUGCGCAUGAGCACGGAGCAGAUCUCUUCGUUCUAACAGUAGGUCACCAUGGAUGCAGGCGAGGGCGAAGGAGACUGCCGAGGCCAGCGGCUUGGCCCGGUGUGCCGACAACUGGUUCAUGGACGGACACGUGCAGUGGUAGGUCGCGG